CUUGUGUCACAGUGUUAUGUGUUCGGCGGAGGGACCCAGCUGACCGUCCUAGGUCAGCCCAAGUCUGCACCCUCCGUGUCUCUGUUCCCGCCAUCCGCUGAGGAGCUCAACAACAACAAGGCCACACUGGUGUGUCUCAUGAGUGACUUCUACCCGGGCAGCGUGACGGUGGCCUGGAAGGCAAAUGGCACCCCCGUCACCCAGGGCGUGGAGACCACCAAGCCCUCCAAGCAGAGCAACAACAAGUACGCGGCCAGCAGCUACCUGAGCGUGUCCAGCCAAGACUGGAAGUCCGCCAGCGCCUACAGCUGCCAGGUCACGCACGACGGGAAGACUGUGGAGAAGACAGUGGCCCCCUCAGAGUGCUCCUAGGACCUGAGUCCCCACUUCUGGAGACACUUCUCCGUCAGACCCUCCCUUCCCCCCCUCCCCACUGUCCCCCUGCAGCUCC
Myotis lucifugus (little brown bat) is the source of this 451-nucleotide non-coding RNA. NCBI's taxonomy places the organism in Eukaryota, Metazoa, Chordata, Mammalia, Chiroptera, Vespertilionidae. The record is from the annotation of a RefSeq genome assembly.